Molecule: ribosomal RNA, 870 nt
Filed under: uncultured archaeon
Lineage: Archaea
Description: bacterial SSU rRNA
Rfam family: Archaeal small subunit ribosomal RNA
Source: RNAcentral
CCUGACUGCUAUCGGAUUGAUACUAAGCCAUGCGAGUCAUUGUAGCAAUACAAGGCAUACGGCUCAGUAACGCGUAGUCAAUCUAACCUAUGGACGGGGAUAACCUCGGGAAACUGAGAAUAAUACCCGAUAGAACAUUAUGCCUGGAAUGGUUUAUGUUUCAAAUAAUUUAUUGCCGUAGGAUGGGACUGCGGCCUGUCAGUUUGUUGGUGAGGUAAUGGCCCACCAAGACUAUUACAGGUACGGGCUCUGAGAGGAGUAGCCCGGAGAUGGGUACUGAGACACGGACCCAGGCCCUAUGGGGCGCAGCAGGCGAGAAAACUUUGCAAUGUGCGAAAGCACGACAAGGUUAAUCCGAGUGGUUUCUGCUAAAGGAACCUUUUGUUAGUCAUAGAACCACUAAUGAAUAAGGGGUGGGCAAGUCCUGGUGUCAGCCGCCGCGGUAAAACCAGCACCUCAAGUGGUCAGGAUGAUUAUUGGGCCUAAAGCAUCCGUAGCCUGCUUUGUAAGUUUUCGGUUAAAUCCAUACGCUUAACGUAUGGGCUGCCGGGAAUACUGCACAGCUAGGGAGUGGGAGAGGUAGACGGUACUCGGUAGGAAGGGGUAAAAUCCUUUGAUCUAUCGAUGACCACCUGUGGCGAAGGCGGUCUACCAGAACACGUCCGACGGUGAGGGAUGAAAGCUGGGGGAGCAAACCGGAUUAGAUACCCGGGUAGUCCCAGCUGUAAACUAUGCAAACUCGGUGAUGCAUUGGCUUGAUGCCAAUGCAGUGCCGCAGGGAAGCCGUUAAGUUUGCCGCCUGGGAAGUACGUACGCAAGUAUGAAACUUAAAGGAAUUGGCGGGGGAGCACCACAAGGGGUGAAGCCUGC